Molecule: ribosomal RNA, 467 nt
Filed under: uncultured bacterium
Lineage: Bacteria
Description: partial 16S ribosomal RNA
Rfam family: Bacterial small subunit ribosomal RNA
Source: RNAcentral
GACGAACGCUGGCGGCGUGCUUAACACAUGCAAGUCGAACGGAAAGGCCCUGCUUUUGUGGGGUGCUCGAGUGGCGAACGGGUGAGUAACACGUGAGUAACCUGCCCUUGACUUUGGGAUAACUUCAGGAAACUGGGGCUAAUACCGGAUAGGAGCUCCUGCUGCAUGGUGGGGGUUGGAAAGUUUCGGCGGUUGGGGAUGGACUCGCGGCUUAUCAGCUUGUUGGUGGGGUAGUGGCUUACCAAGGCUUUGACGGGUAGCCGGCCUGAGAGGGUGACCGGCCACAUUGGGACUGAGAUACGGCCCAGACUCCUACGGGAGGCAGCAGUGGGGAAUAUUGCACAAUGGGCGGAAGCCUGAUGCAGCAACGCCGCGUGCGGGAUGACGGCCUUCGGGUGGUAAACCGCUUUCGCCUGUGACGAAGCGUGAGUGACGGUAAUGGGUAAGGAAGCACCGGCUAACUACGU